This is a long non-coding RNA of Gallus gallus (chicken), 1148 nucleotides long. NCBI's taxonomy places the organism in Eukaryota, Metazoa, Chordata, Aves, Galliformes, Phasianidae. The record is from Ensembl.
UUAGGUCCUAUCUGUAGCUCUGCUGCAAGCCCGUCAUGGUUUUGCAUGGGAGAUGCCAGGACCUUGCUUUGGGGAGCGGGAGGAUGCAACGCCCAACGUGCACUGGGUGGUGGACUGCACCUCCAGUGGCUGCAUGGACACAUCCCAUAGACACGGAUGCUCUUCUCUCUUAGAGAGCAGAGACUUCUCUCUUAGAGCCUUGUUGACAGCUCCGACGCUUGCUGACUGAAUCCUCUUAGCAACCUGAAUUACACCUAUCAUCUAUAUAUGUUAAAAUAUAGAGCUGGGGAAACGGAUGGGUCAGGCCCUUUGGGUCUGGUAGGGAUGGGGCUGUUUAACACCGGUGCUGACCAGCUCCCACAGCCUGGCGGUAUAUGAAAGCCAUAUUUCUGGAGUUACCGGGGCUAGCACUCCCACAAUUAAGGACCUUCCCUCGUGCCCUGCUGCCCUCCCUCCUCCUGCUCAGCUCCCGUUUAUCCCCUCUCAUUUGUCAUCUUUAUUAGUUCGUAAUCUCCCAUCGGUGCGACGCAGUUAAGAGCGGGAUUAGGGGGAAGUUUAAUUGGAUGGCACCCUGCGGCCCUCCCAGCAUCAGAUUCAAUAAAACUUUAUGAAAAGAUAAAAAUCGCAUUGGGUUUUAUAGCUCUGGAUGGAACAAAGGGACCGGAGAGGAGAACAAGGUUUACAGAUGCGUGCAGCUCUGCAAGAUGCAUGCUCUGCCAUGCUGCUGGAGGUAACAGCAGAGCAGUAUGCAUUGCCAGAGGGAGAGCAGCGAACACAGAGCAGCAGUGCCAGAGGCUGCAGUGGGAAAGCUGAUUUCUUCUUCCUUCAGCUGAAAGCAUGGCAGCAAGCAGCAAUCAAACAGUUCUGUUGGUGUUGCUUUGUAAGCCAAGCCGUGUUGUACAAACGAGGGCAGGAAUUCCUUAAAGGAUGAAAUGUUUGGUGGCCUUGCUGCAGAUCCUUUCGAUUCCUCCCCAUCACUUUCCUUACAACAACGCUGUUUCCCCACUUUGCAAGUGCUCAGGGUUGAUAGCGCAGGCAGCUCAGUGCUGCUCCUCCUGAAGGUGGGAUCCAUGAGAAAGCCCCGCAGGCUGCAGGGGACAGAGCAGUGCUGCCAGUCCCUAAAUACCAACAGUGGGCACUCAGUGAAG